RNAcentral lists this ribosomal RNA (483 nucleotides) under Diapherodes martinicensis. Its description in RNAcentral is "partial 16S ribosomal RNA". Lineage: Eukaryota; Metazoa; Arthropoda; Insecta; Phasmatodea; Phasmatidae. The record is from RNAcentral.
AAACAUCUUUUCUUGUUUUUAAUUUGAAGUUUGACCUGCCCAAUGAUUUAAUUUAAUGGCCGCGGUAUUUUGACCGUGCAAAGGUAGCAUAAUCAUUAGUCUAUUAAUUGUAGACUUGUAUGAAUGGUUGGACGAGAUAUUGGCUGUCUUAUAUUUUAUUUAAAUAGAAUUUAAAUUUUUAGUUAAAAUGCUUAAAUUUUUUUAUUGGACGAGAAGACCCUAUAGAUUUUUAUUACUUUAUUUUUAAUAUUUUUUUUGUUUAUUUUUUUAUUACUAUUUAUGGUUUUUUGGUUGGGGUGACAUUAAGAUAAAUUUAACUCUUAUUUUUUUAUAUUCAAUUAUUUUUGUAUAAAUGACUUUUUUAUUGAUGUUAUAAGAUUAAAUACCUUAGGGAUAACAGCGUUAUUUUUUUUGAGAGUUCAUAUCGACAAAUUAGAUUGCGACCUCGAUGUUGGAUUAAGAGUGCUUUUAUUGGUGUAGAAG